This 63-nucleotide transfer RNA is filed under the name unidentified. RNAcentral's name for it is "Rhytidodus viridiflavus tRNA-Cys". The record is from RNAcentral.
AAUCUUAUAGUUUAAUUAAAACAUUAAAUUGCAAAUUUAGUAAUGAAUUUAUUUCUAAGAUUU